GACGAACCGUGCGAACGCUGUUCGGAAUCACUGGGCUUAAAGGGCGCGUAGGCGGGCCUGCAAGUCGGAGGUGAAAGCCCGCAGCUCAACUGCGGAAGUGCCCCCGAUACUGUGGGUCUCGAGGGAGGUAGGGGCGUGCGGAACUUCCGGUGGAGCGGUGAAAUGCGUAGAUAUCGGAAGGAACACCGGUGGCGAAAGCGGCGCGCUGGACCUCUUCUGACGCUGAGGCGCGAAAGCCAGGGGAGCAAACGGG
This 253-nucleotide ribosomal RNA is filed under the name uncultured bacterium. Its description in RNAcentral is "partial 16S ribosomal RNA". It matches the Rfam family "Bacterial small subunit ribosomal RNA", at positions 524 to 776 of the family's 1533-position model. The record is from RNAcentral.